Long non-coding RNA from Setaria italica (foxtail millet), 3315 nucleotides. RefSeq lists it as uncharacterized. NCBI's taxonomy places the organism in Eukaryota, Viridiplantae, Streptophyta, Magnoliopsida, Poales, Poaceae. The transcript is spliced from 4 exons. The record is from RefSeq and is a predicted model, not a curated record.
GGCGUCCCCCUUCCCCGAAUUCCCUCGACGCCCCUCUGCCGUCCAUUCUUCCGUGGCCGCUCGCCCGCCCCCGCCCCGCUCCUCACGACUCGUUCGAUCCGCCGCCGCCGCCCGUCCUUCAUCGCCAUACCGCGCCGCCGCCGUCCCCCGUCCUCUCCGCGCCCGGCGGCCGGCGAGGCUGGGGCGCAGGCUCGGGCGAGCAUCGCGGAUGCGGGUUGGUGCUCGCGCCGCCUCCACUGCCGCCAUCCUCGAGUACCUCGCCCCCAGGUAAUCUCCUGAUCCCCUUUCUCCUCCGGUCCUCCCCUUUUCCGAUCCUAUCGCGUGAAUCGACGAGGGUUGCGUGCUCCGGACUCGGCAUGGGCGUGGAGAUCCUGGUGGCAGUCACUGUGGAGGGCUUCAUCCAGGCGCGAUGCGGAGGAGCCGACGGGCUCCGGCGUCGUCUUAUGUGAUCCAUCCCGCCGGCGGCUAGAGCCACCAAGACCGAACAGCCGGCCGAUGUGGACCGCCGCGCUGGUCCCCUGGCGCCGCAUCCACCGUCCCCCGGGCUGUUCCUUCCUCUUGUCCCCGGGCGUCUCCAUCCCUGUCGUCGACCUCUCCCUCCCCGCGCCCGUCGCCGCCGCCACCGCCACCGCCGAAGCCGCCCGCAGCUGGGGCUUCUUCCACCUCGUCAGCCACCACCAGGCCCUCGCCGUCCCAGAGGACUACCCCGCGCAGGCGCUCGCCGCCGUGGGCGCCUUCAAGGAGCUCCCGGCCGCCGAGCGCUCCGCGCACUACGGCCACUCCAUGGCCGGCGGGAUCCCGUACUUCUCCGACGUCGAUCUGUUCCGGACCUCCGCCGUGAGCUAGCGCGACACCGUUCGGGCCCCAGCGGCUUGACCCAGCGCGCAUCCCGGCCGUGGGGAUGUUGAAGCAGGUUUUAAAUGCUGAAGAAGAAAUCCAAAGGCGUAGCAUGCAGGCCUCAUUGCGCGUUGCCAUGCAUCAGCCAUCAAAAAACGCAAAAGAUGGAAGUUUUGUUUCCAAGCUGAGCCCAGAAUGACUGUUGAUGUCAAUUUCGGUGAUCUUACUGGCGACUCAGAUGCUGGUUCCAACCAGGGCACUCCUGGGCAACCCUUGCAUCACUUCCACAGCAUUUCUCCUUCAACAGCCUCUUUUGUUAGGUCGCCUUUUGGUUCUCUACAGUGGUUCAGGUGACAUGGCAGCAGGUUUUUCCUCAAGCUCCUCGAGUGGGACGCGCACGCCACUGCCGAAGGUUGCGCCCUUCUGGGGCUCCUCUCCGAGGGGCUUAGGCUCGGGUCGACGAGGCUGGAGGCGGCUUCCUGCCUCGAGGGUAGGGUCAUGGUCUGCCACUACUACCUGGUGUGCCCCGAGCCCAAGCGCACCGUGGGUGUCGUCUCGCACAUAGACCCCGGCAGGCUCACCCUCCUCGCGCAGGAUAGCUUGCAUAAAAGAGGGAUGGCAGCGGGUCGGGCAAGCACCGGGUAAGCCAUUUGCUCGCCCGACAGCAUGCUCGACAACCUGCAGUUUGCCCGUGCCCGCUAAGCAUCUCGGACAAACUUGUUUGCCCAUGCCCGUGCCCAUUGGGCACCCGUCGGGCAUCAGGUAGCUCGCGAGGACAAAGGAGAAGGCUGGAGGCGUCACGGUGAAGGAGGUGACCGGGUGAGGCAGCGAGGUGACCGGUUUCAACGGUGAGGCUGACCGCGGUGAGUGGCGGCGCCGGCAGGCGGCAGCUCAGGCUUGACGCAGGUAGUAGCGAGGCCGGCUGAGGAGGCAAGGCGCCAACCGCAUGGAGUGGCGGCGUCGGCAGCUCGGGCCCGAGGCAGUCAGGGGCUAGGCCGGCCGAGGGGGCGAGACACCGGCUGUGGGGAGCGUCGGCGUCGACAGUUCGGGUCCGAGGCAGCUAGCGGCAAGGGUCGGCCGAGGGGCGAGGCGCAGUGGAUGGAACCGGAGGGGUCGGGGCAGCACCGCUGGCGGCUGCCACCUGCGGGAGGAAACUAAGGGAGGGAUAGUGGGCGGUGAGGUGGAUAAGGUCUGUGCAACUGGGACAUGAGUUGGGGUGCGUAGGGUUUGUUUGGGCUUGGGCCAAAUCUAGGAUGUUGGACUUUGGUAAGUUGUAAUUAAAUGGAUUCCUAGUAUUGCGGGUAACCCGAUAGGUACCUGUGGGCGAGAUUCCAAGCCCGCGUUCUGCCCAUGGGCAAGAAUUGAUGCCUAUACCCUUACCCGCGGGUUAGAAUUCGUGCCCACAUGAAAGUGCAUUUGGCCCCCUAAGUGGGUUUUGGUGUUGAUGACUCGCAUAGUUAGGGGACUAAUUCGUGUAUCAAGUGAUUAACAUGUUCUAAUUCUAAAGUGCAAAGGUGUAUGAAAGGAAUUGCAAAAACCCCUAAGUUCAAAGAAAGAACAGCAUUGAGCUCGAAAGAAGACUCGUUUAUAAUUUCUAAUUUUGGAUUUGAGUUUAGGAACGCCAUACUAUAAAGGGGGAUGCGGAUGGAUAUCUUGAAGAUGCUAAUUGUGCUCAUUUGAGAUGCUAACCACUCAUUGAGAGACACGGUUCACACACUUACACAUCCUUUAUCUCAGGUUUUCUGUGUGUGUCGGAAGUUCUGAUGGAGUGUUGGAAGUUCCGACACCUAUCGGAAGUAUCCAGUAACUCCCGGCAGGGGCUCUUUGUACGUUUAACCUGAGAGUAUCGGAAGUUCCGAUACACUAUCGGAAGUUCCGGUAAGUGUUGGGUGUUUCUUGAAACUCCCGACAGGAGUCCUCUGCAUGUUUGUUCUAACUUCAUCGGAAGUAUCGACCCUGUGGCGGAAGUUCCGACAGAUACAUAAAACGCACAGUAACAACUAGUUUUUGGGGCUCGGGUAUAAAUACCCCCUCAGUCCCCCAUUCAUUGCUACUGACCUAACUCGAGCCAAAACACCUCUAGAGCUUUGAAUACUCCCUUUCCUUACUUCUUUGAGCUAAAUCCUUGAGUUCUUGAGCUAGGGUUUGGGUUGAGAGCAAGAUUGAGGGUGUUUGACUUGAGGUUUUGAGUGAGAAGUUCAACAAGUCCAUCUCAAGAGCACCUCAAGCAUCUUUGCCUUCGAUUCGCAUUUGUUACUCUUGAAGCCAUCUUUUAGACGGCUACGCGUCGCCCGUUUGAGCGCCCUCUUCGUGUGGUGCGUCCGGGAACGUUUGUAUUACCCAUCCUUCGUGGAUUCAUAGUAAGUGACUCAAUCCUCCUUUGUGGUUGAUUGAGGGAGGUAAAGGGAUAGUGAGGACCCGACUCUUUGUGAGCUCCUCAACGGAGACGUAGCUUUCUUUGUGAGAGUGAACUCCGGU